RNAcentral lists this ribosomal RNA (382 nucleotides) under uncultured eukaryote. RNAcentral describes it as "partial 18S ribosomal RNA". It matches the Rfam family "Eukaryotic small subunit ribosomal RNA", at positions 592 to 976 of the family's 1831-position model. The record is from RNAcentral.
UAAUAGCGUAUACUUAAGUUGUUGCAGUUAAAACGCUCGUAGUCGGAAUUUGGCAGUUCCGGAUGUGUGCACGUCGUGUGCGCACUUCGCGGGGAUUGCUUUUGUGGUCUUGCGUAGGAUGAGGCACUUUUAUUAGUGAACGUCCUCACGCAACCACUUUUUACUGUGAGAAAAUCAGAGUGCUCAAAGCAGGCAUUUGCCGUGAAUGUAUUAGCAUGGAAUAAUAGAAUAGGACUUGGUUCUAUUUUGUUGGUUUGUUGGGACUGAGUAAUGAUUAAGAGGGACAGUUGGGGGCAUUUGUAUUUCGGUGCUAGAGGUGAAAUUCUUAGAUUACCGAAAGACAAACUGCUGCGAAAGCGUCUGCCAAGGAUGUUUUCAUUGA